RNAcentral lists this ribosomal RNA (365 nucleotides) under uncultured archaeon. RNAcentral's name for it is "partial 16S ribosomal RNA". The stretch from base 1 to 284 matches the Rfam family "Archaeal small subunit ribosomal RNA", at positions 1056 to 1343 of the family's 1478-position model. The record is from RNAcentral.
GCCGGGUUGCCGCGUACUCUCUGGAGUGACGGGUACACUGUGGGGACCGCCGCUGCUAAAGCGGAGGAAGGAAUGGGCAACGGUAGGUCAGUAUGCCCCGAAUGUCCCGGGCUACACGCGGGCUACAAUGGUUGGUACAAUGGGUAUCUACCCCGAAAGGGGAUGGAAAUCUCCUAAAGCCAAUCUUAGUUCGGAUUGAGGGCUGCAACUCGCCCUCAUGAAGCUGGAAUCCGUAGUAAUCGCGUUUCAAUAGAACGCGGUGAAUACGUCCCUGUCCUUGCACAAAACGUUCCCUUUCCUGCUCCGUGCACAAAUUGUCUUUAGGAGUUUUUGUGUCUCCUAUCGGGGUAGUUGCACAUUGUACC